GGCAGGCCCCCAUUCAAACUGUUUCGAGCUCCAUUCACAAAUGAAACACUAGCUUCUUCCUCCGUCGCACGAGCUGCUUCUUCCGUCGCUGCCGCCGCCACUUGCGUCGCACAAUCUCUCUGUCAUCUCUGGCAUCGCACGAGAUCCCUCCACGGCCGCUCUCGUCGCGUCUACUCCCAUUGUUGCAGAGCUCUCUCUGACGCCGCUCUCAUUGCAUCUGCUCCCUCUGGCGCCUCUUCCAUCUAAUCUCAACUCGCUCUCUCAGUUCUUCUCGUAACCACCUCAAAUUUCAGGCACUAAAAACCAGCAACUAUGGCUCUGAACCUAUGCUUCAAAAUUGUGGAAUUUCUAUAAGCACUGGCUUUACUCAAGUGGAUGGUCGUGUUCUGCCUUCGCCAAGGAAGAGGCAAUUCGAAGAUCUACUGCACAAGAGCAGGAUGAUAUUCAAGCUUUGAGGUUUGUUACCUUAUUUAUAUAUAUAAAGGAUUCUGUUAUACUUGCUGUAUUUGUUACCUUAUUUCUGGUUUUGGAACCUUUUAAGUUGUAACUCCAUAUUUAUAAUUUUGUCCUGUGAAGUGUUAGCUCGUAGAGAAGUAGUAAUUAGCGUAUGUAUCACAUUCACAACUGUGGCGCUAACAUUGCACUCUAUCUGUUUGUAUAAAUGUCUCACCCAAUAACUGAAAUUUUUUUGCAGCAAAACCGUGUUAUUUUUAUUCUUGUAACAAUUACAGCUUUAGAUACAUGGAAACCAAGUCAUUUGAGGAACCUUAUUCCACCAACGAUGAGGUCUACUUGCAAAAUGCAAGUGAUGAAGAUGAUAAUGACAGUACCUUUUCUUCCAGUUCCACCACCAAGUUACAGUUCAGAUACAAAAAAGAAAUAUAUGAACUUGUAAAGAAGCGGUCAGAGGAGGCUGACAAUGUCAAUGAGAUAAUCAAUAACUUUUCCAUGUGUGUCAUCUCCAGGUCUAUUUAUUCAUUCACUGUUGAUUAUUGUUUUAUUGUUCAUUGCCGAUGGUCUUGCUGUUGCUGGGCAAGUUGAUACCUCUCUGUUUACAUAAUGCCAAAUCUAUGUUUGCUGGGCAGCUUGAGUAUUACAGAUGGUUUGGUUCUGGGAUUGGCUCUUGCAUUCAUUCUUGGUGUAGGACUUCCUUUUGGAGCUAAACUAUUUACAAGAGAUGUUGAUGUCCUCCACCUCAUAAAAAUUGGAAUACUUUUUGUUGCAGCCACCCAACCCAUCAAUGCUUUGGCAUUUGUAUUUUUGCAGACUAUAAUCUAUCUCCUUACGUGAGAUGGUUAUUACAACCCUGGGUGAUCUGCAUGGGCUCUAUCCGGGGAUCAUUAUUGCAAAAUAAGGUUUUGAGGAUUAAGGAUAAGUCUACUGAUCAGUUUGGAUGAGAUGGCGUCUUCACAAAAUGUCGAGUUGGAGGCAGCCAACUUUCUGCACAAACUUACUCAGGAUUCUAAAGAUGAGCCAGCUAAGCUGGCUACUAAACUCCAUGUUAUAUUACAACAUAUGAAAUCCAGCGGGAAGGAACAUUCAAUGCCAUAUCAAGUGAUAUCAAGGGCUAAAUUUAUAUCUGCAGAAGAAAGAGUUGGUGUCACUUUUGAUGAUUUUCCUGGCCAGGAAUAUAUAAAGAGGGAAUUGUGAGAGAUUGUACAAAUUUUAAAGAAUGAUGAGGAGUUUCAAGACAAAGGAAUUUAUUGUCCAAAAGGUGUGCUUCUCGAUGGACCUCCAGGAACUGGUAAAACUCUACUGGCUAAAGCCAUCGCUGGGGAAGCAGGGUUGCCUUUUUUUGCGGCAAAUGGCACAGAUUUUGUAGAGGUGAUGCCUGUUCUCCAAAGAUAUUCACCCGCAUUGAAUAGAAAGUAGCAAGUAGAACUUUGGAAUAUAAUUUCUAUUCAACUUUCAAAUUUAAAAAUAAUUUAAUUCUUAUGGAGAAUGAGGAUGUAGAUAAAAUUUAAAUUAAGCACUCAUUUGAUUUUCCUAAGAUACAGGCAUAUCAGUUUUGAUCUAAAUGUGCGUGCAGGUCUGACAUUGAUCAGAGUGUGCUGGUUGUGAUCGUACCUAGAUCAUAUGCUCUACUCUGUAAAUGAAUGAAACUUAUACCCAUGAAGUGUGGAAUAUUGAAUGCAUAAAAAUUGUCUUCAUCUUUAAAGUUAAAAAUUUUUUAUUUGUUCUUCUCCCAGAUGUUUGUAGGGGUUGCUGCAUCACGUGUUAAGGAUCUUUUUCUUCUGCCUUCGUCCGUAUUUAUUUAUAAGAGGUGGAUUUCCAUCCCCUUAGGAACUUGAUAGAUCUUCAUUUUUAUUCCCAUGACUGGUGCUUGUGAUAGGUGCUACAAAUAGAUUAGACAUUCCUGCUGUAUUGAGGAAGGGUCGUUUUGACAAGAUCAUUCGAGUUGGUUUGCCAUUUUGAAGGUGAUUUCCUCCUCCGACAAUUUAUGCAUAAUGAACCUUGCUUCAAGAAGUAUUUCAUUGUCUGUAUCCAUCUUUUUUCGUGUAUAAACUAGGUGCAUGCUAGGAAUAAAUUCUUUAAUUAUCGACGAAAAAUCCGGCGAAAAAUCUGUCUUUAAUUACCAACGAAAAAUCCGUCGGAAAAUUUGUCUCUAAUUACCGACGAAAAAUCCGACGGAAAAUCUGUCUCUAGUUACAGACGGAAAAUCCGUCGGAAAGUUUGACGCUAGGGGAAAUGGAGGGGAAAAUUUACAGAGAAAAAAUCUGUCAGUAACUGGUAAAAAUCAAUCUGUCGGUAAAUAAUUUCCGACGAGGCUUUUACAGAGGGACAAAAUCUGUCGGUAAUUUCGUCGGUAAUUAAAAAUCCGUCUGUAAUAUAGACCAAAUCUGUCUGUAUUAAGCAAUUUUCUAGUUGUGUAAAGUUAAUUCUUUUAUGAUUAUGCCAAUGUAUAGCACUAUAAAAAAAUGGUUAAGUAUGAUUUUGGUCCCUAAGAUAGGGGUUGUAAAUUUUUUUCGUCCCCAACCUUGUUUUGCUUACAAAAUUGUCCCUAAUGUUUAACUUAGUUUUAAAAUCGUCUUUCUUACCAAAAUACCCUUCUCCUUCUUCCCCAAAAUCAACCAGAAGCAGAAACAGAAAUAGAAGCAACAACAAUAAAACAAUGUAAUAAACAUUAAAAAAAUGGAUAAUAGAUCAACAAAUCUGUAUAAUGAAACAAUGUAAUUAACUAGAAGUAGAAGCAGAAGAACAGCAACAACAACAAUGAAACAAUGUAAUCAACCAGAAGCAGAAGUAGAAGCAAUCAGAAGCAACAAUAUAAAAGAAUCAUAAUAAGAAAUCAACAAUAUAAUAAAAGUAGCAGAAGCAAAAUGGAAUUAGAAUCAACAACAUAAUAAACAGAAAUAGAAGAAUAACAAUAGCGGCGAGGAGGACGAGGAGCAGCGGCAACCGGUGAGGAGGACGAGGAGCAGCGGCGACCGGCGAGGAGGAGAAGCAAAAAUGGCGAGUGGCGCGCGACGUCCACCUUCGCAGAUCUGCUGGCAUCGACGUCGAGGAGUAGCGGCGAGGACCAAACGACGAGGAGCAGCGGCGAGGAGCGAACGACGAGGAGCAGCAGUAGCAGAUUCCCUUCCCCUCCCCUUCCCCACCUUCCCUUCCCUCUCUUCUUCCCUGAAACCCCCUAGCGUGACUCCCUUCCCUAGCACUUUAACUCGUUUUCUUUGUUUUUUUUUAUUUUUUU
Molecule: long non-coding RNA, 3691 nt
Organism: Arachis stenosperma
Lineage: Eukaryota; Viridiplantae; Streptophyta; Magnoliopsida; Fabales; Fabaceae
Exons: 11
Source: RefSeq, a predicted model, not a curated record